GAUGCACGCUUUCUUCUUUCCUAAUACAUGCAAGUCGAGCGAACAGACGAGGAGCUUGCUCCUCUGACGUUAGCGGCGGACGGGUGAGUAACACGUGGAUAACCUACCUAUAAGACUGGGAUAACUUCGGGAAACCGGAGCUAAUACCGGAUAAUAUAUUGAACCGCAUGGUUCAAUAGUGAAAGACGGUUUUGCUGUCACUUAUAGAUGGACCCGCGCCGCAUUAGCUAGUUGGUAAGGUAACGGCUUACCAAGGCAACGAUGCGUAGCCGACCUGAGAGGGUGAUCGGCCACACUGGAACUGAGACACGGUCCAGACUCCUACGGGAGGCAGCAGUAGGGAAUCUUCCGCAAUGGGCGAAAGCCUGACGGAGCAACGCCGCGUGAGUGAUGAAGGUCUUCGGAUCGUAAAACUCUGUUAUUAGGGAAGAACAAAUGUGUAAGUAACUAUGCACGUCUUGACGGUACCUAAUCAGAAAGCCACGGCUAACUACGUG
RNAcentral lists this ribosomal RNA (497 nucleotides) under uncultured bacterium. RNAcentral's name for it is "partial 16S ribosomal RNA". It matches the Rfam family "Bacterial small subunit ribosomal RNA", at positions 28 to 507 of the family's 1533-position model. The record is from RNAcentral.